Molecule: long non-coding RNA, 466 nt
Filed under: Lathyrus oleraceus (garden pea)
Lineage: Eukaryota; Viridiplantae; Streptophyta; Magnoliopsida; Fabales; Fabaceae
Description: Pisum sativum (pea) long non-coding RNA (PSAT_LNC040237)
Source: RNAcentral
UGGUGUUAUUUCCGACGUUGCCAGCGGAAUUAUCACGAGAGAUUGGAGAUCGGGGUUCAAAUGGAGAAAAGAAGAUGUUGAGGCAUUUUCUGGAGAACGGGGUUCAAAUGGAGAAAGGGAGAUGUUGCGGCAUUUUCUGGAGAACGGGGUUCACAUUGGCGAUCGCGAGUUAUCGUCAGGCGACUGGGGUUCAAACUGGAGAAUGGGGUUCAUUAUGUGGCAAACAGGAGAGCGGGGUUCAAAUGCGGUGAUCCGAGGAUCAUUUGCGCAAGAGAAAAUUCUGGGGUUCAAGAAAAUGGAAAAAAUAGAGAAAACUUCGGGGUUCAAGAAAAGCAUAAAAAGAAAAAGAAUAAUAAUCCCGAGCGGAUGUGGCGUUCGGGCCGUGGUUGUCCCUGUGUUACCAUUUAUUUUGGUAUCCAGGUCGACGUUGCUGUUUCGGUGAUUAGGCCGACUUUCUCCGUUCCAG